Molecule: non-coding RNA, 96 nt
Organism: Acanthosepion pharaonis
Lineage: Eukaryota; Metazoa; Mollusca; Cephalopoda; Sepiida; Sepiidae
Source: the annotation of a GenBank genome assembly
AAAGCACUGUUUCUCGUACAAUUACCGAAGUUAAGCAACAUCGAGCCUGGUCAGUACCUAGAUGAUUGACCACUUGGGAAUACCAGGUGCUGUAAG